Molecule: long non-coding RNA, 5354 nt
Organism: Gasterosteus aculeatus aculeatus (three-spined stickleback)
Lineage: Eukaryota; Metazoa; Chordata; Actinopteri; Perciformes; Gasterosteidae
Source: Ensembl
AUAUAUAUAUAUAUAUAUAUAUACAUAUAUAUAUAUAAUGUUCGUUUUAGAUAUUAGAGGUGUCCUGAACAAUGGUAGAGCUUCAGGGAAACCACUUUAUUUUGAAGUUCAGGCUGCUUUGACUUCCUUCUGGCUACCCUGCUCUGACUUUCCUCAUCUCACUUUCUCGUGUUCUGCACAACACAUACAUCACUGAGGUCUCCAGUCUCCCCAGUAACGAAUAGAAAAAAGGGCAAGCCUACUUCACCAAACAGGCGUCAACACCUCACAUCUGAGCCACUAUUACGUAAGUCUUCCCGUUACCUUAUUUAUAGGGAUGUAAAUGAAGAAGCCACUGACAGCUCACUUUACAUGCUUUGCUUAUGCAUUUUUAAGUGCGUCAGAUAUACCACAGGAAUGAUUGUCUAUUCGCAGAAUAAUAAGAGCAUUCAUCUGUGAAAUAUCUUUGCUGAAAUGCCCACAUGCCCUCUUGCCCUCUCCCGCACACACUGAGUCGUCUGCAGACGGUGCGGUUAAUGUUUACCGAUGGACUAUACUUAUUUUCUAAAUAUUUGUCUGGUGAAGACAACCAAGAAUGUCAGCUAUCCAAAAGAUUAUAAGGAACCUGUGGUUCACUGACAGAAGCCACAAAUACUUUCAGUACACAAACCAACGAAAUUCUACAGCACAGCAUCCCCGAGUGGAAAGAGGGUCAGCGGCUCCGCAGGCCGGCUGCUGAGGUCAACCACUCAUCCUUGAGCGGGCUCACUUAGUUGGAACUGUUCAGGAGCAGGAGAAUCAUUUUUGGUUGGCGACAGAUACUCUUACAUGGAAGCCUUUAAGAGGGUUCUACUUAGAACCAUUUAGUAGAGGUACAAAAAGCCCCUCUGGUUAAAAGAGGAACCCACUGGAGGUCGUAUCCACCUUCCAAGGGUGCAAACUAGAACACACCGAAGACUGAAGAAGAAUUGCUUUAGGACCCAUACAUCAAUGGGGUUGUAUUGAGCACCAACUUAUAUUUGAAGGGUUUAGAGCCCGUCGGGGUUCAUCACAGACCCUUUUAUAUGUUGUCAAUAGAACCCUCUGGGUGGAUCCAAUUGCGGAAUUUGGUGCCCGCAGCGCAACUCACAACGGACAUGGUUCACAACCACAGUGUUUAAGAGCGUGAAGUGGGAGGAUCCUUUAACAUCAACAAUCUUUGACAGACUCUUACUCCCCAAAAGAGUUCUUUGGACAAUGUAACUCAUUGUCUCACAAAGAAACCUCUGAAAAGGUUUAGUGCGGAACCUUAAACUAGGAACUUAUUUGCGGGAGUGUGAUUCAGCAGGGAGACUAUUGAUAGUCUGUCUGUGUGUGUGUGUGUGUGUGUGUGUGUAACAGUAAAAGAAAAGAACAAUGGGGGUAGGAGGGAAUACAUGGAUGGCAGAGGAUGCAAGAAUUCAAAGGUCUGGAUUCCUUUGUGACGUAUCGUAUCCAAACAGUGCUAUUGUUCCAGUAGGACAUUGACAUUGAACACUCCCUUCCCAAUACACACACCUAUUAACAAACACGCUACAGGGCCCUCUGUGAUCGGGACGAAUUAUAUACCUUGUCUGACCUGCGCUUCGCUGCAAUACCCUACAUGGAACACAAAACCAAUACCACCACAUACAAGACAAGUACAAGCACUUUGUUAUAUUUUGCGCUAUUACGUAAUGUAAUAUAAUAAUGUUUGCGACUCGUGAGUCAUUUAUUUUGUUCCUUUUGUCUGUGACAUUACAUUACAUGUCAUUUAGCUGUCGCUUUUAUCCAAAGCAACUUACAAUAAGGGCAUUUCAACCAUGAGGAUACAAAGUCAGAAGAACAAGAAACAAGAGCAAGUGCAAUUUCAUCAAAUAAUCCGAUCUACAACUUGCUAUAGAUAAGAGCCAUUACAAGUACAAUUUUAAGUGCUACAAUUUGUUUUUAAGAAAUGUUUUUAGUCAAGAUAGAGUCUGAAGAGGUGUGUCUUUAGUUUGCGGCGGAAGAUGUGAAGUCUCUCUGCGGUCCUGUGACAACUUUAGCAGCCAUGAUAGAUUAAUUCUGUCCAGUUUCUGAACAUUUUUCUUUUAUGCAAAGGGAUAAAAUUGAACGUCUUGGGAAGUCAAGUUCCCUGCUGCAUCGAGAUCCAUUUACUCCCUGCUGCUACUGCAUAAUAGACAUGCAACGUGUAUUUCUUUGCGGUUUUCCGGUACCUCCCCUCCGGGGCUGAACAAGUCCUCACACGCACAUCUGCGGCCCCCCGUCUGACCACGUCAAAGACACUGUGCUGUUUAGAUGCCUCUGCAGAUGGGAGUCUUCUUACUGUGCCUUUUCUGUUUUUUUAAAACCACAAGCAACCAGUGAUAUUCACAUGGCAGACCCCCACCUGGAACUACUUGGCACUGGUGUGUGGGAGAAGCAGUAAAUAGCUUUUCUCCACGUACUUCCAUCGGGUAAAGCUAUGGAUGAGUUGUGCAGUGAAAGGUUACAGGCAACAGGUAUCAAGGAUGUGAAGCGCAGCUCGAGUCGGACUUCGGGCGACGCCACUGGCAGCUCUCGCUCACAAACCGCCACGGCCCCCAUAGCGGGGAUGACAAAAUAAAAGGCCCUGCGACCGACGUGAGAAGAGGAAAACAGCAACAGCUGGCGGCUUCUAGCUUGGGGACGAGAAGUAAAGGGAGUAGAGGGGAAAACAGCGAGAUGUCAUCAGUGGAAGAGUUUACGACAUCGAGGGUGUGAUAACAUGGAAAUAUAAAGAAGCGGAGCUCAUGGUUUGGUGGGUUGGAAGCAGGGUUACUGCCGCUUGUAACUUUGGCCUAUAAUAACAGCCUCUAGUUGUAAUUACCCAUUAAAACGUUGGCUGCAGAGGACUUUACUAUGCCACUGUUGGUAGUUAAGUGAAUUCCACAGAUCUAUAUUUGCCAGCUUUUUUCCUACGUUCUGCCAGCCUAUGGAAGACCAGGUUGGGUUUGUUGGGAGGAUCAGAGGAAGAACAACAGACAAAAAAACAACCUGCAUCACAAAGAUGUAAAGGAGAAAUUAGUGAGAGGAAAAAGGGGCGAUGCAGAGUGAUGGGAAAGGAAUUCUAAAAUGGCACAUGAAUAAAAGCCACGAAAUACAUUUUUUUAAAGUCGGAGGGAGUUUCCAUCACUGGGAUGCGAUGAACAAAAAUGUCCCAAGUGCCCCACUGCCUUCCUGGACAACUCAGCCACCUUUGGCCCCUGCGUCAGUGUUGCUUUCCUCCCCCCGCUGAUCAGCAUCCUGUUUUGGGCAUUGUGUCUUUUUUAAGCGAGUGUCUGUACAGACAGUUCGCUCACGUUCAACAAUUCUGCUACUAAGAUGCUGAGUCUGGACGAACCGGUUUUAAACUUCACGCCCCUUCUCCGUGUUCCAAGAGCUUAAGACCCUUCCAGGGAAACACUCAAUCUCUGCUAUUCCCUAAACAAAUUCGACAAGUUACGUUAAACAGGAGCAACCGUUGGGCUCCAGGCAGAACAAGGUAUUCACUAAAUAAAUCAUAGGGUAUCAUUAAAGUUUGGACAGAAGCACCCGCGUCUGCUCACUGUCUCGGGGUCAGAACUGCGCACACAGCCAGACCCGACUCUAAGCUAGAAAAUGUGUUUCGUUAUAGUCGCCAGUCAAUAACGAUAACCAGCCAGCGCCCACUGCAAGUUUCCACAGAACAGCGUCCCAGGCCUCUCACCGUGCCAAGUUGGGUCAAUGGAGGUUCCCUCAGCUCGGACGUCGGAGGAGUUUAUAGGUAAAAGAGCACUAGACUCAGCUCCUCUGGCAGCGGUAUGAACACAAACUAAGCAGGGAAAGUUGGAGGAAAAUGGCAGGUUCAAGGAUGCAAUGACCACCUCGGGAGAAAAGACUACGAGGAAGAGAGGAUGAUUUACGAGGAAGCCGACCAAGAGGUCCUUUUAGGGGGGGUCUGACUCCAGCAGCAUGAGGAACUUUGCUCCCGAUGAGGCUGAAGUUCUCUAAAACCUCCCAACAGACUAAGAAUUCAUCUUUUGUUGACUGUAGUUCAGCAACAUGAUGAGGACAUUCCGUGCGUAGCCUCAAACUUGCCCCCGAGUGCUCCUUCGAACUGUGUGGAAUGAAGGACGCAAACUGCUCGAAAAACCUUGAAUGCUCGCCCCCCCAAUCCAAGAAGUACUCAAGUACCACUUGUUCAGAAAUCCACAUGAGAAAGGUCAGUGGCGGUGACUCAUCGCUGUCAGAGUUCUCUCAUCCAGCCAGUGGGAAGGCUGCAUGUGACAGGCGUUUCUCUCACACACACAAGAACACGCACACACACACACACACACACCCCUGUGUGUUUGUGUGUAUUCAGAUCACAAGGACUCUAAUAAAUCCUUUGGCCUCUAUAUGCCUUGUUCUCUCUGAUCACACGUUUGCUCUAUUCAUUAAAGUUAAAGUUUUUAACACAUCGGCGUCCUUUGUCUUUCUCGCCAUCUUCCCCUCCUUCCUCUGGAGCGUUUGGCCUCAGCGGACUGCAGCUGGACUCUCCGUUCUCUCUCCUCCCUUUGUUGUUCCUCGACCUUCGCAUUGCUCCUCGGUCCGCACACUCCCUCCUCAACAGUCCCAGCUGCCUUCCACCCUUAGUAACACUAAACAAACACACACACACACGCACACACAAGCCCUCACAUGUGCACAGACGGUGGUGUGCGGGGUGAGUGCGCACACGCACACAAAAGGCAGCUGAAGUCACUUUUGUGGUAUGUAUGAAGGUUUAAAGACUUGAGGAUGCGUUACAAGUGCGUCCGCAGUGGAAUCUGUCAGGGCAGGUUGCGUUGGAGGGGGGUGCGAGGUGGUGGGGGGGGCAAACAACCUAUCAAAGCUUACGCCUCGCCUGUAUCUCUGAAGGGAGGGCACUGAUUUAUUUAUUUUAUUUUUAUAACAAAAGAAGGUUCAUGUAUGGAUCAAACGUCACUAUUAGAGCCUCGCCCCUUGCGCUGCACACCUAUCAGAGGGGUCCGAACUCCUCCCUCCACAGGUGUGGUGACCCCCCCCCCCCGCAUCCCCGCCGCCCUCUGAUGUCAGAAGGCUGACAACCCCUCCGCUCUGCUUGUUAACACCAUCGCCUGUCAUCCGCAUCCGCUGCCUCCACACUUUAGUUUGCGCGUUUCACUUCCUGGUCCAUUGCGGCCUUUGUGUUUCCCACUUCCUGCUCUCUGUCGAUAACGUUUGAGCGUGCGCACGCAGACGGUCCAAAGUGCCCCUCGGGGGUCCCGGUGUCCCACUCUCUCUCUCUCUCUCUCUCUCUCUCUCGGUCUCCCUCCGACGCCCCCUCCGGUCAGGUGUCAAGGUGACGGGGAGGAGAAGAACCAUCACAUUGUCUGGUAGUGAUAGGGCGUAGCUGGGGG